AACUAUAACGGUCCUAAGGUAGCGAAAUUCCUUGUCGGGUAAGUUCCGACCUGCACGAAUGGCGUAAUGAUGGCCAGGCUGUCUCCACCCGAGACUCAGUGAAAUUGAACUCGCUGUGAAGAUGCAGUGUACCCGCGGCAAGACGGAAAGACCCCGUGAACCUUUACUAUAGCUUGACACUGAACAUUGAGCCUUGAUGUGUAGGAUAGGUGGGAGGCUUUGAAGUGUGGACGCCAGUCUGCAUGGAGCCGGCCUUGAAAUACCACCCUUUAAUGUUUGAUGUUCUAACGUGGACCCGUGAUCCGGGUUGCGGACAGUGUCUGGUGGGUAGUUUGACUGGGGCGGUCUCCUCCUAAAGAGUAACGGAGGAGCACGAAGGUUGGCUAAUCCUGGUCGGACAUCAGGAGGUUAGUGCAAUGGCAUAAGCCAGCUUGACUGCGAGCGUGACGGCGCGAGCAGGUGCGAAAGCAGGUCAUAGUGAUCCGGUGGUUCUGAAUGGAAGGGCCAUCGCUCAACGGAUAAAAGGUACUCCGGGGAUAACAGGCUGAUACCGCCCAAGAGUUCAUAUCGACGGCGGUGUUUGGCACCUCGAUGUCGGCUCAUCACAUCCUGGGGCUGAAGUAGGUCCCAAGGGUAUGGCUGUUCGCCAUUUAAAGUGGUACGCGAGCUGGGUUUAGAACGUCGUGAGACAGUUCGGUCCCUAUCUGCCGUGGGCGCUGGAGAACUGAGGGGGGCUGCUCCUAGUACGAGAGGACCGGAGUGGACGCAUCACUGGUGUUCGGGUUGUCAUGCCAAUGGCACUGCCCGGUAGCUAAAUGCGGAAGAGAUAAGUGCUGAAAGCAUCUAAGCACGAAACUUGCCCCGAGAUGAGUUCUCCCUGACCCUUUAAGGGUCCUGAAGGAACGUUGAAGACGACGACGUUGAUAGGCCGGGUGUGUAAGCGCAGCGAUGCGUUGAGCUAACCGGUACUAAUGAACCGUGAGG
This 984-nucleotide ribosomal RNA is filed under the name Shigella sonnei. RNAcentral's name for it is "partial 23S ribosomal RNA". It matches the Rfam family "Bacterial large subunit ribosomal RNA", at positions 1938 to 2916 of the family's 2925-position model. The record is from RNAcentral. Lineage: Bacteria; Pseudomonadati; Pseudomonadota; Gammaproteobacteria; Enterobacterales; Enterobacteriaceae.